RNA transcript from Culicoides brevitarsis, 3344 nucleotides. It is a transcript of the gene named histone-lysine N-methyltransferase Suv4-20, with no coding region annotated. The transcript is spliced from 5 exons. The record is from RefSeq and is a predicted model, not a curated record. Lineage: Eukaryota; Metazoa; Arthropoda; Insecta; Diptera; Ceratopogonidae.
UAUCAAACGUCGCAAACCAGAGAAAAAGAAGAUUUUGCCUUAAAUUAUUGCGUUAAUAACGUAAGAGUAGAUUAAAUAUCGCCAAAAUGCAGUAAUAACAUGACACAGUGGACUGGGACGCUGUACAAGCCACAACAGCUACAAAACAACAAGAAAAAAACAAAGAUAAAGUUUUAACGAAGAAGCGAUUUUGAAGAAAAUAGAAGUUAGAAAGAUGGUGAUCGAUGCAGGAAGUAAUUCGGGCAGCAAUUCGGCCAAUAUGCCACCGACGGGCAUGACACCGAAGGAGCUCUCGGAUAACGAUGAUUUGGCGACGGCGCUCGUUUUGGACCCCAUUUUGGGAUUUCAGUCACACAAGAUGAAUUGUCGUUUUCGGGCGUUGCGACCGAUAAACUCGAAUGCCAUCCGGGAGAUUAUUGAGGAGUUUAUUAAGACACAAAAUUAUCAGGAGACGUACGAUAAACUCAUGAAGGGCGAUUGGAUUGCACGAAGUAUUACGAAUAGGAGUAAAGUGGCACAUAAGCGGUUGCAGGGACAUAUUUAUCGAUACCUCCGAGUAUUUGACCGUGAAUCAGGCUUUGUGAUAGAACCGUGUUUCCGCUACAGUCUCGAAGAUCAAAAGGGAGCGAAGAUUUCCGCAACCAAAAAAUGGUUCAAGAACGAAAAAAUCGAAUAUCUCGUCGGAUGCAUUGCCGAACUGUCCGAAGCGGAGGAACAAGCAUUAUUACGUCCCGGCAAAAACGAUUUUUCCGUCAUGUACUCGUGUCGCAAAAAUUGUGCCCAACUGUGGCUCGGUCCUGCGGCUUACAUCAACCACGAUUGUCGCGCCAACUGCAAAUUUGUUGCUACGGGACGCGACACGGCAUGCGUAAAAGUGCUGCGAGACAUCGAAAUUGGCGAGGAAAUCACCUGUUUCUAUGGCGAAGACUUUUUCGGCGACAAUAAUCGGUAUUGCGAAUGCGAAACUUGCGAAAGACGAGGCACGGGAGCUUAUGCAAAGGACAAACAAGGCGAGGAAGUGUCACCGGGCGGUUAUAGACUGCGCGAAACGGACAACAGAAUAAAUCGGUUCAAGAGUAACACGGGAAAUAACGGGACAAAUGGCACGAAUAACGGCGGAUUAAAGGUCACCACGUCGACGGAGGUUCAAUUGACGCCGUUAACGCUGAAGGAACUGCGACAAAAGGGUUUGACGAAAUACGAUGCCGAGAUGAUAAUCGCGCAACAUCCGAAUUUGAGCAUUCAUGACGUUUCGUCGACGACGACGCCAACAACGCGACAUGCCACACGAAAAAACUCGCGUGUCAACAGCACGGGAAGCAACACAAGUACUUGCAGCAGUAACACGAACGAAUCUAAUACGAUACUGCACACGCGAAAAUCAAAGCGACUCACGACGACGCAAGAAUCCACGAAAAAUCCGACGCGGAAACGGAGAAGACGUGGCAGAUCGCCGCCUGUCGCGCAGCCCCCGACAAAGUUACAAACGACGCGCAGCACGGUUUUGACGCCGUCCAAACUCGAUUCCGUGGUUGCGAACCGAAAUUCCUCGAACAGUAGUCUAAGUGAUUUAAGUACUGCCGCUGUGAUUGCUUCUUCCAUGCAUAGCAACGACGAUCUCUCGGUGUCGAGUGUCAGCAGCAUCAGUUCGAGCUCCGGCAUCGGGUCGAUGGUGCAAGAACAGCUGCCAAACAAGCCGGAAGAAAGGAAGAAACCUUAUCCGCUGAGAUCGAGCCAACAAAAAUCCACAGAUUUAGCGUCAUCGCCUUCAAAUGACUUGUUCAAAAGUCGCGAGAAUUUGACUGAAAAACUGCAUGAAAUUCAAGAUUCGACGGAAACGACGGGGGAACGUCAGAGAAGGAGAAAGCCAUUGCGAACAACAAGAUACUCACCAUCGGAUCCAAAAACAGUUUCAAUGUCGCCUUCAUCGCAAUUGUUCACGUUUCAACAGCAAAAAUUCAACUUGCAAAAGCUUCAAAAUGGAAAUUUGUUCGCUAAACUGAACAAUUCGUCAGCAACAUCCACAGGAACGACGACAACAACGACACACGAUCCGUACAGCAUCGAUCAUUUGGAUGACGAUGACGACGAAAUACUUAAAAGUUCUCCGUCUGCCAGUCGCAAACGCAAAAGUGUAAGUGAGUCCGAGAGCAGUAGUUCGUGGGAAAAUAAAUUGCCGGACAGCAACUCGAUGACCUUCAUCAAUGAUGAGACAGACGGAAGCAAUGCGAGUGUCACGGGCGACAAACCUUUGCUAAAAACGCCCGAACGCCGUCUCAAAUUGACGUUGCGCAUGAAACGGAGUCCCAUCAUCGAUGAGCUCAUCGAGUCCGGCACCAAUCUGAGCGACGAGAGUUCAGGCAGUAAUUAUGAGCCGGAAUACGAGGUGUUGCGUGUUGAGGGCGUCGAUAACGAUGACGACGAUCUGAGUGACGGCCGGAGCGAAGAGUCGUCGGGCAAACGCAAAAAAAGUCGACACAAGUCAAAAGACCACCAUCGACAUCAUCACCAUCACCACAGACACAAGGAAAAGCAUUUGCAGCACAACACUUGCUACUACAAUGCAAGUGGUGGCGGCGACGGCGAAUUGUCGCCCGUUUCACGCAGAUCUCCACAUCAGAACACAGCAUUUGUUAAUGCGGCACAGGCAAAACCCACCCAAAUGAAACGACUUCGCCUAAUCUUUGGCAAUGAGCAACUCUGUCGUACUAUUAACAUUCCGUCAUCCGAUCAAAGUUUAGGCGAGUUGUCGUCGCCAACAACUAACUCCUCUGCAGCCGCUGCACUGGCAACCGCCAUCAAGCCAGAAAUUCCUACAAAUUGACAUCGUGCCUGGGCUCAUGUUAAAUUCUAUUUUGGUUCCAUUCGUGGUUUCUUUAAAUAAGGCGGGAAUCGCAUCCUUUUCCAGCGAGACAUCGACUGCUCUCUUCAUUUAUUUAUUUGCUUUUAAUUGUUCAAUUUCACAUUUCAUUCACGAGCAGUCUGUUUCUCGUGCCAACACGAGUUAUUUUUUAGAGAAAAAGAAGAAACUGAUAGAAAUCUGUGUGAUAUAAUUCAUCGUCUCAUAAUUACUGCCAAACUUAACGCUUAGAAAUCUAUAAAAAAAAAUAUUUUUUCUUCAUAAAAACACAAAAAUUCAGUAAAAAUGGGAGAUAUUUUUUUUUUCUUUUUUUUUUAAAUUCGAAAAUCACAUAAAAUUCAUUCGUUAGUUGUAUAAGUAGUAACGAAACAUUUAACACUUGUAUUUGAAAAUAAUUUCAAACAAUUGCUAGAAAAUAUUAGUUGAUAAAAAAACAGAAGUAAAAUGUAAGCUAAGCUUGGUAAUAAAAAUAAAAUGAUAUAAA